Molecule: ribosomal RNA, 1162 nt
Filed under: Pseudomonas aeruginosa
Lineage: Bacteria; Pseudomonadati; Pseudomonadota; Gammaproteobacteria; Pseudomonadales; Pseudomonadaceae
Also listed under: 1 other name
Description: partial 23S ribosomal RNA
Rfam family: Bacterial large subunit ribosomal RNA
Source: RNAcentral
CUGGCUGGUCGAAGAUACCAGGCCGCUGCGACUGUUUAUUAAAAACACAGCACUCUGCAAACACGAAAGUGGACGUAUAGGGUGUGACGCCUGCCCGGUGCCGGAAGGUUAAUUGAUGGGGUUAGCGCAAGCGAAGCUCUUGAUCGAAGCCCCGGUAAACGGCGGCCGUAACUAUAACGGUCCUAAGGUAGCGAAAUUCCUUGUCGGGUAAGUUCCGACCUGCACGAAUGGCGUAACGAUGGCGGCGCUGUCUCCACCCGAGACUCAGUGAAAUUGAAAUCGCUGUGAAGAUGCAGUGUAUCCGCGGCUAGACGGAAAGACCCCGUGAACCUUUACUGUAGCUUUGCACUGGACUUUGAGCCUGCUUGUGUAGGAUAGGUGGGAGGCUUUGAAGCGUGGACGCCAGUUCGCGUGGAGCCAUCCUUGAAAUACCACCCUGGCAUGCUUGAGGUUCUAACUCUGGUCCGUGAUCCGGAUCGAGGACAGUGUAUGGUGGGCAGUUUGACUGGGGCGGUCUCCUCCUAAAGAGUAACGGAGGAGUACGAAGGUGCGCUCAGACCGGUCGGAAAUCGGUCGCAGAGUAUAAAGGCAAAAGCGCGCUUGACUGCGAGACAGACACGUCGAGCAGGUACGAAAGUAGGUCUUAGUGAUCCGGUGGUUCUGUAUGGAAGGGCCAUCGCUCAACGGAUAAAAGGUACUCCGGGGAUAACAGGCUGAUACCGCCCAAGAGUUCAUAUCGACGGCGGUGUUUGGCACCUCGAUGUCGGCUCAUCACAUCCUGGGGCUGAAGCCGGUCCCAAGGGUAUGGCUGUUCGCCAUUUAAAGUGGUACGCGAGCUGGGUUUAGAACGUCGUGAGACAGUUCGGUCCCUAUCUGCCGUGGACGUUUGAGAUUUGAGAGGGGCUGCUCCUAGUACGAGAGGACCGGAGUGGACGAACCUCUGGUGUUCCGGUUGUCACGCCAGUGGCAUUGCCGGGUAGCUAUGUUCGGAAAAGAUAACCGCUGAAAGCAUCUAAGCGGGAAACUUGCCUCAAGAUGAGAUCUCACUGGGAACUUGAUUCCCCUGAAGGGCCGUCGAAGACUACGACGUUGAUAGGCUGGGUGUGUAAGCGUUGUGAGGCGUUGAGCUAACCAGUACUAAUUGCCCGUGAGGCUUGACCAU